AACGAACGCUGGCGGCAUGCCUAACACAUGCAAGUCGAACGAGACCUUCGGGUCUAGUGGCGCACGGGUGCGUAACGCGUGGGAACCUGCCCUUAGGUUCGGAAUAACUCCCCGAAAGGGGUGCUAAUACCGGAUAAUGUCUUCGGAGCAAAGAUUUAUCGCCUUUGGAUGGGCCCGCGUUGGAUUAGCUAGUUGGUAGGGUAAAAGCCUACCAAGGCGACGAUCCAUAGCUGGUCUGAGAGGAUGAUAAGCCACACUGGGAAUGAGACACGGCCCAGAAUCCUACGGGAGGCAGCAGUGGGGAAUAUUGGACAAGGGGCGAAAGCCUGAUCAAGCAGUGCCGCGUGAGUGAUGAAGGGCUUAGGGUUGUAAAGCUCUUUUAGACGGGAUGAUAAUGACAGUAACGGGAGAAUAAGCACCGGCUAACUCCGUG
RNAcentral lists this ribosomal RNA (433 nucleotides) under uncultured bacterium. RNAcentral's name for it is "partial 16S ribosomal RNA". It matches the Rfam family "Bacterial small subunit ribosomal RNA", at positions 29 to 507 of the family's 1533-position model. The record is from RNAcentral.